CAUUAGUGAUUGGCUUCGGCCUAAUUCGAUUCAAACCUCUGUGAACCGUGGCCUCCGGGCCGAUUUUAAACAUCAGUGUAAAGAAUGUAAACAUUAUAACAAAUAAAACUUUCAACAACGGAUCUCUUGGCUCUCGCAUCGAUGAAGAACGCAGCGAAAUGCGAUAAGUAAUGUGAAUUGCAGAAUUCAGUGAAUCAUCGAAUCUUUGAACGCACCUUGCGCCUUUUGGUAUUCCGAAAGGCAUGCCUGUUUGAGUGUCAUGAAACUUUCAACCCCCGGGUUUCCGGGAGGCUUGGACUUGGGCGCUGCCGCUUGGCUCGCCUCAAAUGUGUUAGUGGACUAGGUCUUUUGCUUGACGUAAUAAGUUUCGUCUCGUGAUCUCCGACGCCCGCUCAUAACCCCCAUAUUUUGUGCUCUGACCUCAAAUCAGGUAGGACUACCCGC
Molecule: ribosomal RNA, 444 nt
Filed under: Basidiomycota sp. BEA-2010
Lineage: Eukaryota; Fungi; Basidiomycota
Description: eukaryotic LSU rRNA
Rfam family: 5.8S ribosomal RNA (bases 107-260)
Source: RNAcentral